Molecule: ribosomal RNA, 459 nt
Filed under: Clostridiales bacterium
Lineage: Bacteria; Bacillati; Bacillota; Clostridia; Eubacteriales
Description: bacterial SSU rRNA
Rfam family: Bacterial small subunit ribosomal RNA
Source: RNAcentral
CCGCAACGAUCGCAACCCCUCUCUUUAGUAACCAGCGAGUAAAGUCGGGGACUCUAGAGAGACUGCCGGGGUUCACCCGGAGGAAGGUGGGGAUGACGUCAAAUCAUCAUGCCCCUUACGCCUUGGGCUACACACGUGCUACAAUGGGCGCUACAACGAGCAGCGAGCCGGCAACGGUAAGCGAAUCUCAAAAAGGCGUUCUCAGUUCGGAUUGCGGGCUGCAACCCGCCCGCAUGAAGGAGGAGUUGCUAGUAAUCCCGAAUCAGCAUGUCGGGGUGAAUGCGUUCCCGGGUCUUGUACGCACCGCCCGUCACGCCAUGGGCGUCGGGAGUACCCGAAGUCGGCGCGCCAACCUAAGCGAUUAGGAGGCAGCCGCCUAAGGUUAGCUCGAUGACUGGGGUGAAGUCGUAACAAGGUAGCCGUAUCGGAAGGUGCGGCUGGAUCACCUCCUUUAAGGAA